This 74-nucleotide transfer RNA is filed under the name Cardinium endosymbiont cEper1 of Encarsia pergandiella. Its description in RNAcentral is "tRNA-Arg (TCT) (tRNA-Arg-TCT-2-1)". It matches the Rfam family "tRNA". From Rfam's summary of the family: Transfer RNA (tRNA) molecules are approximately 80 nucleotides in length. Their secondary structure includes four short double-helical elements and three loops (D, anti-codon, and T loops). Lineage: Bacteria; Pseudomonadati; Bacteroidota; Cytophagia; Cytophagales; Amoebophilaceae. The record is from RNAcentral.
GGUUCCGUAGCUCAAUGGAUAGAGCAACUGCCUUCUAAGCAGUAGGUUUGAAGGUGCGAAUCCUUCCGGAACCA